GGCGGACGGGUGAGUAAUGUCUGGGAAACUGCCUGAUGGAGGGGGAUAACUACUGGAAACGGUAGCUAAUACCGCAUAACGUCGCAAGACCAAAGAGGGGGACCUUCGGGCCUCUUGCCAUCGGAUGUGCCCAGAUGGGAUUAGCUUGUUGGUGGGGUAACGGCUCACCUAGGCGACGAUCCCUAGCUGGUCUGAGAGGAUGACCAGCCACACUGGAACUGAGACACGGUCCAGACUCCUACGGGAGGCAGCAGUGGGGAAUAUUGCACAAUGGGCGCAAGCCUGAUGCAGCCAUGCCGCGUGUAUGAAGAAGGCCUUCGGGUUGUAAAGUACUUUCAGCGGGGAGGAAGGGAGUAAAGUUAAUACCUUUGCUCAUUGACGUUACCCGCAGAAGAAGCACCGGCUAACUCCGUGCCAGCAGCCGCGGUAAUACGGAGGGUGCAAGCGUUAAUCGGAAUUACUGGGCGUAAAGCGCACGCAGGCGGUUUGUUAAGUCAGAUGUGAAAUCCCCGGGCUCAACCUGGGAACUGCAUCU
This 535-nucleotide ribosomal RNA is filed under the name Escherichia coli. RNAcentral describes it as "bacterial SSU rRNA". It matches the Rfam family "Bacterial small subunit ribosomal RNA", at positions 97 to 628 of the family's 1533-position model. Lineage: Bacteria; Pseudomonadati; Pseudomonadota; Gammaproteobacteria; Enterobacterales; Enterobacteriaceae. The record is from RNAcentral.